RNAcentral lists this ribosomal RNA (207 nucleotides) under uncultured bacterium. RNAcentral's name for it is "partial 16S ribosomal RNA". It matches the Rfam family "Bacterial small subunit ribosomal RNA", at positions 568 to 774 of the family's 1533-position model. The record is from RNAcentral.
UCCGUAGGCGGGCAAGCAAGUCGGUGGUGAAAGUUCACGGCUCAACCGUGAAAUUGCCUUCGAUACUGUUUGUCUUGAGUUCGAGAGAGGAUGAUGGAAUUCAUGGUGUAGCGGUGAAAUGCGUAGAGAUCAUGAAGAACACCAGUAGCGAAGGCGGUCAUCUGGCUCGAUACUGACGCUCAGGGACGAAAGCGUGGGUAGCAAACA